UGUCUGUAAACAAAUGCGUCAACGAUAUAAUUAUGUAUUUGGCACUUGACGCGUGACAAUGACAAAUGAUUUUUACACAUCGAUAUGUAGCACAAAAAAUGGAAAAAUAUACUUGGUAGACAAAGCCAUCAACACCUAACCCAUUUCCGAAAUGCUUUAACCACGUAGGCCACGUAGCGAACACCAAACAACAAGUAGGUAUAGUUGCCAUCAGAUAUCUCGGAGUGACAAAGGUUUAUUUCAGAUAUUUGUGAACACCGAAGCAGCUCCGAUAUAUCUGAUGGCGACUAUACGCGUAGGCGUUCUGUCUGGAGAUGUUUUUGACCACAUACACUGAAUAAGAACCUCGGGUAAUUCGUAAGACCACCUACAAUUCUAUCACAUCAAUCAGAGUCAAUUUUCGGAGUUACCCUAAGUAACUGAUAAGACACGAGGAAGAAAUCUCACAGGAACGAAUUAAAGUUUGCGAAAAUGCCCCACUCUAUCUACGCUAAACAAACAAAUUACAAUAUGUUAAUAAUAUUAUACCUAUAUGUUUUUUUUAUUGAAUCCAAACGGAUAAUUAUGAAACUAUGUAUAAUCAAAGGUCACACGGGCGGCCCCGGCCCUCUAGCUAUGUUUAUAUGAUAACGCGGACCGCGCCCAAGUGCAAACAUGAACAUGUCAUUAUUAUUAAUAGUUGUUGAUUAAUUAAGCACUGAUUAACUGCCAUAUUUAUGUGAGAACUUGUUAUGUUCUGUCAAACGGGUACCUAUGGAAAAACAAAAAUGUGUCUGUACCAUUGCUCGAACGUUAAGGGGUUUUAGAUGUAUAGUAUAAUAAUAUCACUCAAUUAUGCAUGUGCGUUUCGCUCAUCGAUUUUUUUACUAGUAUGUUAAUAAAAUCGCUCUUUGCUUUGGCCACAACCACAAAAUAGUACUUUAUACAACCGUGGUAUAUAAAGAGAAAAAGGCGAGUGGCGUGGGUUACAAUGUGAGCCGUUGCCGUAGGCGAGCAUUGUAAAGAAAUAUGCCACGAGCAUUUUUGACCUACUUAUACAACGUCACACACAAUAGUACCUAUUUCGUAAACAGAAGAAAUGUUCACGGAAUAUUAAAAUAUUUUAUUCCAUUUUUUAUACUUUUGCAUAUAAAUUUUUUUUUUGUAAAAUCUUAAAUAAACUGGUCAAUUUGUUAUAGUCAGGGUGAGUAAUGAAAAGCAUCUGCUAUGGCAAUAAUAAAUACAUGUGGUGUUGCUCGAUGAGCAUAAGGACCAUGGAGAACUCGUAUUUAAUUUCGUAUUACAGUACAAUCUCAUUAUCUCACUAAUGCUGACUAAGAGGGUUAUUGGAAAAUUCGGAUUACUGGAAGUAAGAGCAUAUCUGCUUAUUAUAUUGAUGUGUUUUUUAGUAUGUCAAAGUUAUACACUAUAUACUAAAUUAAAAGAAAAUUGUACUGUUAUCUGGUUUUAAGGAAUAUAUUCAAGAGUGAUCUGAUAAUGUAAGCGCACGUAGUAAAUUUAGACAUAGAAUGAUCACUUGCACCCCUAUUUUAGUGCCGGAUCACUGGGUGUACCGGACCAUCGAAGUGUCGGAUUAUCGAGAUUAGAUCUGGAACUAUGCCGGAACUUUAUAUGUACUAAAUUUCUGACUUGAGUCACUGGUCAAACAAUAAGCCAUUCGAUAUUGGCAAAGAGAAUUGAUUGUAAUAGAGAGGUAAAGUCUAAGAAAAAAACGUGCCUCUUAGUUUGACAUCCAAAACAGAUGUCGCUGUACUGCGCCAUGUGUUUAUCGGUCACUGAAUUGUCAAACGUCAAUUUUUGACAAUCAGAGUUACAGCAAAAUGUAUGGAGCUGUACAGCGCCAUCUCGUUUACCUGUUAAAUUCUAAGCACGUAAUUUUCUUAGACUUCACGCGUCUUACUCAAUCAAUGUAUCUUUGAUAUUGGUCAUGUUUAAACUUCCUUAAUUGUAGUUUUUGCUUUGUAAGACGUGGCUAAGGAUUGAAUUUUGUAUUUUUAAUCCUAUCUGACACGCGAACGGCACAUUAUACUUAUCACUGAGCUGUGUAUUCUAUAACAACAACUCUCUUGACUGACCAUAUCCGUGGACCUUAUGGCUUUGCAAUAAGAUUUACGAAUUAUCAGUUAAUCUGUCCGCAAACUGACGACCGAUAUCAUAUAACUAUCUUUUUCACUCCUGCUACGACUAUGCAAUGCAAGUAUGAAUGAGAAGUUUUACGUUUACUACCCCGGCCGUCAGUUUGGUUUGCGGAUAGUAUAACAAUGUGGAGUGGACGUAUUAAAGCAGGUAAAACGGGAAUAAUUGUAGUAUUUAAAUGGUGUUUUUAAGAAUUAAGAAAGCCAAUUAAGUAAUGACCCUAAUACUUCAUCAGAUAGUUAUUGUAGGGAAAGUAUGCCUACAGGUCAUAUGUUUAAUUGGUAUUAAAGUGAACGGCUUUCAUAAACGAACGUUAUUUUACUAGAAUUAUGAGAUCACAAGGCAAAGUUUUAGAAUAUUUUAGACAGUUUAACGAAAACGUACGAAUACAAUAUAAUUGUUUAUUUUGUGACAAAGUCUACACCGUCAAAAAUGUUAUUCGGUUUGCACAGCAUUUGGUGAAGUAUUGCCAAAACUGCCCUAUUGACAUUAAGUCCAGAUUUAAAAAAAGGGAAGUAGAAGCUAUGUGUCUGUUGCCGCAGCUGAAGUCGAACAUUUGCAAUCAUCAGGAAGAGAACCGCUCGAUGUGAUGAAACAGUAGCAGAGGUCAAAAAAAUCUACUUUUUCCUAAUCAGAAAACGAUACCGAAAAUGCCCUUAAACGGAUCCCAACUAUUUUUGUUUCACCUUGUAUUAUUAUGAAAUUAAUUUAAGACUGUGAUUUUGUCAUUA
Molecule: long non-coding RNA, 2867 nt
Organism: Cydia pomonella (codling moth)
Lineage: Eukaryota; Metazoa; Arthropoda; Insecta; Lepidoptera; Tortricidae
Exons: 2
Source: RefSeq, a predicted model, not a curated record